UGAUGCGGUCUGCACCUGUUUAAGCCGUGACCUCGGGGCGGUACGGCUCGGUUCAGGGGUCCGGAUGCCGAGGAUCACAGGUAGAGCUUCUUGACGUCUUUGGGGAAGCGCUCGCGGCAACCCGAUCGGGGCGUGGUCUUCGGAGAUGGCUAGUUGCAGCGUCCCGGUAACGCGGUCGCCGUGUACCUGCACAAAGGUCGGACCGUAUCUUCGGCCCGACCCCUCCGACGGUCCAAUUAGUGGACGAG
RNAcentral lists this long non-coding RNA (248 nucleotides) under Musa acuminata (dwarf banana). Its description in RNAcentral is "long non-coding RNA (MACU_LNC011485)". Lineage: Eukaryota; Viridiplantae; Streptophyta; Magnoliopsida; Zingiberales; Musaceae. The record is from RNAcentral.